This 1123-nucleotide ribosomal RNA is filed under the name uncultured bacterium. RNAcentral's name for it is "bacterial SSU rRNA". It matches the Rfam family "Bacterial small subunit ribosomal RNA", at positions 47 to 1162 of the family's 1533-position model. The record is from RNAcentral.
AUUGAUUUUAUGCUUGCAUAAAUGAUUUUUGGAUUCGGAGCGAGUGGCGAACUGGUGAGUAACACGUGGGUAACCUGCCCCGAAGCGGGGGAUAACAUUUGGAAACAAAUGCUAAUACCGCAUAAUUAGUCAGAACCGCAUGGUUCCGACUUAAAAGAUGGCUCUGCUAUCACUUCGGGAUGGACCCGCGCCGUAUUAGUUAGUUGGUGAGAUAAAAGCCCACCAAGACGAUGAUACGUAGCCGACCCGAGAGGGUAAUCGGCCACAUUGGGACUGAGACACGGCCCAGACUCCUACGGGAGGCAGCAGUAGGGAAUCUUCCACAAUGGACGAAAGUCUGAUGGAGCAACGCCGCGUGAGUGAUGAAGGGUUUCGGCUCGUAAAACUCUGUUGUUAAAGAAGAACAAGCAUGAGAGUAACUGUUCAUGCUUUGACGGUAUUUAACCAGAAAGCCACGGCUAACUACGUGCCAGCAGUCGCGGUAAUACGUAGGUGGCAAGCGUUGUCCGGAUUUAUUGGGCGUAAAGCGAGCGCAGGCGGUUUUGUAAGUCUGCUGUGAAAGCCCUCAGCUCAACUGAGGAAGUGCAGUGGAAACUACAAAACUUGAGUACAGAAGAGGAAAGUGGAACUCCAUGUGUAGCGGUGAAAUGCGUAGAUAUAUGGAAGAACACCAGUGGCGAAGGCGGCUUUCUGGUCUGUUACUGACGCUGAGGCUCGAAAGCAUGGGUAGCGAACAGGAUUAGAUACCCUGGUAGUCCAUGCCGUAAACGAUGAAUACUAGGUGUUGGAGGGUUUCCGCCCUUCAGUGCCGCAGCUAACGCAUUAAGUAUUCCGCCUGGGGAGUACGACCGCAAGGUUGAAACUCAAAGGAAUUGACGGGGGCCCGCACAAGUGGUGGAGCAUGUGGUUUAAUUCGAUGCUACGCGAAGAACCUUACCAGCUCUUGACAUCUUCUGCCAACCUAAGAGAUUAGGCGUUCCCUUCGGGGACAGAAUGACAGGUGGUGCAUGGUUGUCGUCAGCUCGUGUCGUGAGAUGUUGGGUUAAGUCCCGCAACGAGCGCAACCCUUAUUAUUAGUUGCCAGCAUUUAGUUGGGCACUCUAGUGAGACUGCCGGUGAUAAA